UCCAAUUUUGAUCUAAAAUGGAUAUAAAUGACAUGGAUCUGAUGGAUUUUGAGGACAUGGAUUCUAUUGAACCGUCUCGGCAAACCAUACGAUACCGUCGCCGAGCAAAUCCGUUUUUACUAGAAGAACCUGACUUCAAAAGUAAAUACCGUUUUUCGAAACGUUUUGGGCAAAAAUUGGUGGAUUUGUUACGAGAGGAUUUGGCACACGAUCCUCGAGGCUGCCCCUUAAGCCCUGAGCUGCAGGUGGUUUGCGCCUUACGCAACUGGGCUCGCCACGAAAUUCAAGAUGAUACAGCUGAUUUGCAUGGUGUAUCACAACCAGUUAUCAGCAAGACAUGCAAAAAGGUGGCAGAAUGCCUCUCAAGAACGGGCUCAAAUUCUCCAAUCACCAGCUUCAGUGCCGGAAGCUUACAGCGGCCUAGACAGGCAGCUCGCUUUUUGGGUUAUUUGGAGUAGGAAGAUAAACCACAAAUUACGCUACCGGAACCAGCUAUACUUUUGAAUUUCUAUAAAGCCUCCUCUUGUUCUAUUAAUAUUGCAGACAAUGUGAUAUUUGUGAGAAAACUUCUGCUACAUGUUUGUUCACUACUGGUUGGGAACAGUCAUGUUCAGAACAGUAUUGUUGUAUAAAGUUCGUAAUUCAUUUGUAGACUAAUGUGGUUACCAAGUUUCAAAAGGGCUAAGGGAAGAUACUAAUUAAAAAUUCAUGUACAAACUUAAGUUAUAGAAAAUAUUUAUUAUAAUAAAAUCUUUAAAACAAUCAACAGAAUAAGAAAAAAUGAUGUUAAUUUUAAGAUAAAAACUUAAUUGGUAUUUCUCUUGCUUUCUAAUAAAUCUAUUUCCAAUUCAA
Long non-coding RNA from Ostrinia nubilalis (European corn borer), 852 nucleotides. RefSeq lists it as uncharacterized. The transcript has 2 exons. The record is from RefSeq and is a predicted model, not a curated record. NCBI's taxonomy places the organism in Eukaryota, Metazoa, Arthropoda, Insecta, Lepidoptera, Crambidae.